Molecule: unclassified non-coding RNA, 243 nt
Filed under: Hevea brasiliensis (rubber tree)
Lineage: Eukaryota; Viridiplantae; Streptophyta; Magnoliopsida; Malpighiales; Euphorbiaceae
Source: RNAcentral
GGGAAUGGCAGAUUGUUUUGAAGCAAUUGGGGAAGUGGAUGAGUUUCUAUUUGAAGAAAAGAGUUGAGUCAAAUAAAAACCAGAUUGGUAACCAAGAGAUUCAAAAGUAUGCCUCAUUCUCAGCACAAAGUGCAGAUCUUCUGGUAUAAUCUUGCAGGAACCAAGUUGAAGGAGGCCAUGUCCAGCUUGAAUAACAGCAAUGGUUUGAAUUCCUGAAUCAAACUGAUCAGUCCACUCAGGAGG